This is an RNA transcript of Peromyscus californicus insignis, 2138 nucleotides long. It is a transcript of the gene named chromosome unknown C4orf33 homolog, with no coding region annotated. NCBI's taxonomy places the organism in Eukaryota, Metazoa, Chordata, Mammalia, Rodentia, Cricetidae. The transcript has 12 exons. The record is from RefSeq and is a predicted model, not a curated record.
AGUCCACUCGGCCCGCCCUGCGACUUUGAAAGCGGUGCCCCGGACCGUUCCUUGGAGACGGUGACGCCGCGUCCGUCAUCACGCGGGCGUCGGCGCCUGCGUCAUCGCGCUGCCUCGGGCUCCGGCAGCCAUUGGCUGUCUGUCAGGCGCUGGGCGGAUCCCUAAGCGCGCUGGGGGCUGAGUCGCUCGCUUGGCGCCUUCCGCAGUGCCGCGGCGGGUGUCUGAGGCAGUGUGGCGCAACUUGAAUUUUUUUUUUUUCCUCUUUCUUUCUUUCUGUUGGUAAGAAACCCGAAGACUGUGACAGGAGCAGGCACUAGAUACACAUUCUCGUUGCUCCCCGAGUCUUGGUUUCGCAGACACUAAGCGUCUGUGGGGCGUGUGCAGGGAGGGCUGUGGGUCCUGGGGCGGAGGUGACUCCAGUCCCCUCCAGUCAGCUUCCAGCAGUCGCUUCUAGGUCUGGAAGUAGUGACCCUCCUGCUCCUAGGAAAGAGAGCUGUUGUCGAAUAUUUAACCCUGUCACGUAGUCGGGAUUCAGGGUAGCCUGCAAAGCCUGCAGAACUCCAAGUCCCUCCCCCUAGAACGUGUGCUGGGCGGAGCCUAAGAGGGAGCCCUGUUCUUCGACGUGGGCCAGAGACCGCCACAGAGCACAGCAGAGCUGGAACUGAGAACUUCCAGGUCUGUGUUCUAUUGAUGAAUUUUAAAAUUGAACACACUUGGGAUGGUUUUCCAGUGAGGCAUGAGCCAGUGUGUGUCAAGCUGAGUCCAGGGGACAAGGGAGUGAAGCUGGAGGUUUGUGCUCCAUUUUUCAAUGACCCUCCAGCUCCUCCUGGAGAACCAGGAAAGCCUUUCAGUGAACUGUGGAAUUAUGAAGUUGUGGAAGCAUUUUUCUUGAAUGAUACAACUGAGCAGUAUUUAGAAGUUGAACUUUGUCCACAUGGACAGCACUUAGUUCUUUUACUCUCUGGAAGAAGAAAUGUUUGGAAAAAAGAGCUCGCGUUAUCAUUCAAAGUGUUCAGAGGAGAGACAAACUGGGAAGGCAUAGCUUUUCUUCCUUGGAGUUAUUUUCCACCAAAGGUGACAAAAUUCAACUCAUUUGCAAUUCAUGGAUCAAAUGACAGAAGAAGUUACGAGGCCCUUUACCCUGUGCCACAGCAUGAACUGCAACAAGGGCAAAAACCUGAUUUCCAUCGUCUAGAAUAUUUCAAGCCUUUCAGUUUUAACACACUGCUUGGAGAAGAAUGGAAGCAGCCAGAGUCAGACUUGUGGCUAAUAGAGAGACCUGAUAUGUCGGAGUAGAUAACCAACUAUGUCAAUCAUUUCUCCUCUGUACCUCCUAAGAGCUUGCCUUUUAAUAGAUCUGUGAACUUCUGCAUCAUUCUUAGUCCUUCUCAACAUCAUUAUCUCAGAGGCCAUGCUCAGAGAAGCCAUCAUGAGGUGAGCAGCUUUGUUCCCCUACUCAUUCUGCCAUGGUAUUCUCCCUUGCUAUUGGAUAAGCCCCAGAACACCAGACAACUGCCCAAAGGCUGAGACACCUGAAACAACGAAUUGGAAUGCAUCUUCUCUUCUUGAAUUUAUUUAUUUGUGUAUGUGCACAUGGGUGCCAUGGUGGGUGUGUGGAGGGCAGAGGACAGCUAUCCUUCUAUCAUGCAGAUUCUGGGGAAUCACACUCAAGUCAUCAAGUUUGGUGGCAGGCACCCUUGCCUACUGAGUCAUCUUGCUGCCCUGAGUGUGACUGCAAGUCAACACUUCGAGUACCUUAAGCCCUUUGCUUUGAAGUGGAUAUGGGAUUACUGGAGCAGGCAGAUCACAGCUCUAAGAUCCUUCUUUUCUGAUAACUUGAGCUUCAGCUGAGGAACAAAGGCCGGCAGAAUAGAAUGCCCUUCCUCACUGCAUUUUGACCCCCAGUUGCAUGGCUAAAGUAACAGCAGGAUUUUGAACCCUCUUAAGAACCACUUGGAUUAUUGGGAAACUAGAGUCCAUUUGGAGGCCGGCAGUUUACGGUAGUGGUUCUUCUCACAUUAGUCUGAACUGAGAUGCCCAUAAGAGAGCAAGGUAAGGAACACAUAGCUGUGCAGCACUGUGGUGCCAAACUUCCUGUGUCCUGCUGGAGAAGGGAUGCCUGAAUGCCAGAACCUCAC